CUUGCAGGGAACAUGCAGAAAAUAUGGACCCUUCUGUGCCUGAUGGCUGUUCCCCUAGGUGUGCCGUCUGAUCUGACACUUGAGCAAUCAGGACUAAACCUGCUGAAGACUGGGGAGACACUGUCCCUCACCUGCACUGUCACUGGCGGCUCUGUCUCUAGUAGUUACUACUGGCAUUGGAUCCACCAGCCUCCUGGGAAAUUUUUACAGUGGAUGGGGUACUGGGAAGGGAGCGCAUACUACAACUCAGCUUUCCAGGGCCGCAUCUCCAUCACUGUUGACCUAGCCAAGAACCAGUUCUCCCUGCAGCUGAACUCCGUGACCACGGAGGACACUGCCAUGUAUUACUGUGCAAGAAACACAGUGGAGAACUUCAGUGUGAGUCCAGACAUAAACCUCCCUGCGGGUGUACUUUUGGCCAGCAGGGGGCGACCAUGA
This is a non-coding RNA of Octodon degus (degu), 438 nucleotides long. NCBI's taxonomy places the organism in Eukaryota, Metazoa, Chordata, Mammalia, Rodentia, Octodontidae. The record is from the annotation of a RefSeq genome assembly.